This 3618-nucleotide long non-coding RNA is filed under the name Salmo salar (Atlantic salmon). Its description in RNAcentral is "lncRNA (ENSSSAG00000110258.1)". The record is from RNAcentral. Lineage: Eukaryota; Metazoa; Chordata; Actinopteri; Salmoniformes; Salmonidae.
CCCAAAUAUUGAAGCGUUGUCAUUUUCCAGUUCUCUACUGCUGGGACUUUAACAGUCUAUUGACUUGCUUUACAUUUGCACCUCUGGAAGCAUCCGUCUCUGUCUCAACUAAGUGAAAUGGCACUUUCAGCCAAUCCGAUUCUGGGGGCGAGCUUUUCUGCACAACACCUGCAGUUCUAGUUCACCUCAGAAUCGCUCGUCUUAGCCCGCCCAGAGUGGCUCGCUUUUGGGCAGCAUAUAGCAGCACUUUCGGUUGUGCUUCAAGAAUGCAGCAUAGCAAGUUCGUAUGAAGGUCUGGUUAUUAAAUGGGUAAAUAGUUCACGUUACAUAGUAAUAUGGUCUAAAACGCUCUGGUGACAAACGUUGCUGCCCUGUUUCCAAUCGUCCACAUGACUGGGAGGACCUAUUCAAGUACUAGUAACGUUAGCUUGCUAACAGCCAUGGAGGAGCAGAUGCACCUCCCCCUACUUCACUAACAUCAACUUUCGGUUGCUUUAGCCUUACCAAGCACGCCCAACAGUUUGGAGUAAAACGUGGUUAAUUUCUAAAAUAGACCUAUAAAUAAAUAGCCUACAUGAAAAUAUUUGCUACCUGAUUGACUCAAAAUGUUUUUGUGUAGCCUAUUUAAGUAGGCUAAAUAGCGCAUCAAACACCAAUGAAGAGAGAAGCCUAUGCCAAUAGGCUAUGGGGCAAGGGCGCUCCCUGUAGCCUAUUAAUUAAAAAAAUAAAAAAAUCGAAGCUGCCAGUUAGCAUCAUAUAGUCUAAAUUUCGCAUCUCCAUGUGACACGGUUACUUGUAAAUUAGAACAUUGUCAUGUUUCAUAAGACAAUUGGACUCAUAUAUUUUCUCAUAAGGCACAGGCCUAGGCUAAUUUAGGCUACAUGCAAAUUUGACACACCGGGACAUUUUUUAUUUUAUUUAAAAAAAAUAAUUUGGAAUGCUUCUUACAAUUUGCGUUCAGCUAUUACAUUACACUCCUUGUACUCCAUGUCAUCUGGUAUCAUAACUGGCCAUUUCCCCUGACAGUGAGAGCUGUUCAGUGGUGUGUUCUGUGGACAACGGGAGAGAUUCUACCCUGUUCUGGUACAGUGGAGAGAAAACAGACUCAACCAGACCAGCAGCCCUGUUCUCACCCACAUCUUUUGUGUGAGGCAAAGUGGAAGGUCUUGGCAGAGCUGUAUAAUUUUUGUGCUCCUUAAUUCGUGGGAAAUGGGGUUUUAAAAGGACAAGGACAAUAGGCUAUACAAUAGAUAAAGCAAAUGUAUAGGCUUGCCGAUAUGCAAGGGGCUUAAUACAGUUUUAUUCCAGUCACUAGGGGGUACUCAUGGUGAAGCCCAUGGGAAAUAAAGAAAUAUAGUUUAAGUGAACUGGGGAGAGGAAGCAAAAUGAACAAAAAGUGCUGUAAACUGCUGUUACAUGUGCUGUCAUGAUUCAAAGUCAAGUAAACAGUACCUUUCGCGUUGUAGUUUAUAUUAUAAGCUCAUAGAAAGGGUAACACAUUUGUUGGCUCCGCUGAGAUUUAUUUUCACGUGAGCACCAGCCCAUAUUCCUUGAACAACAACGAGUGAGCGACAUUGGGAGAGUAGCUAGCUUGCUAACAUUAGCAGGCUAAACACCAAACGGAUUGUAGCUAUCUUGCCAUUGGCUGCAUUGUCGUUGUUGCCACGUGUUGCUGACUCUGAAGUCAAAGAAAAGAGCCAUCACGCUUUGCGGCGCAAAUUGAUGUAAGAUUACUGUGAGAAGGAGGAUUUAAUGGAAUCAGAGGAUGAGGGAAAGUCUUGGCUGCUUCAACUGAAAGACGAAAUCAAAGGAAUAUUGGACUGAGGAUACUGCGAAAAGUCUGCCUACAAGUCCCAGCCAGUCGGCGCCAACGAUGCAAGUGGACAGCGAACCCAGCGGAGAGACGGGAGCUGCAGCAGGACGAAAAGAGGAGGGAGGGGGCCUUCAGCCCAGCAGAGAAGUGGUCUCAGCUCCAGAAAGGCACCUGCCACAGAGAGAGAAUGGAGUGAGUAUGUCCAGUUAUAAAGAUUUUAAAAUCCUUGGGCAGAUAGGAGAUCAGAAUCAUUAAGAUAAGCUCAGCUUCAGCAGCCUAGAACAUCAAAUUGAAAAUGGAUGGAGAAAAGGGUACAAUGAAUUAGAAAUCAUAGAAGCAGUAAUCAGAGCUGUGAGCCCAGGGUUUAAAAUGUGGAGUUAUCUGGAGGGAAAAACAGACAUGACACUCUACACACUAAGGCAAAUCUUGAGGACACAUUAUGCAGAGAAGGACGCUGCUGAACUGUAUCACAAGUUGACCAAGGCAACACAAGAGCUGGGAGAGUCUGCCUUGGACUUCCUAGUCCGAGUCUUUGACCUCAGCUCGAGCCCAAUCAGGACUGAAAUAUGGCACAGAGUUAGUCAAGAGCCAAUGCCCGCAGGCCAUUGUUACUGGAUUAACAAAUGUUAAUGUCAGGGUAGAGAUGACAGUGCAUCUCCAGAAUAUUAACACCAGUGAUGAACUCAUUAGUACAGUCAGUGCAGGGCCAGGGUGACAGUUAAGUUAGGAAUCGCUCCAACAGAAAACCAAGUCCAACCAACAGAGAGAAAUGAAAAGGUUGUUAUGAGACUGGUCAACAGACUUGCCAGCGUUGCUACAAAUGUGGCAGUGAUAGCCAUUGGGCAGUAGGAUGUAGGAUCAGGGGCAACGUACAUCCAUCGGGAAACGCCUGGGGGCCACAACCAUGGAUCGGAGAUGCUAACAUCUCUGUUGACGAGUCUACGAUAUGUAAAACACUAAAGAAGAAUGGUGUUCAUGGGAGGACACCACGGAAGAAGCCACUGCUGUCCAAAAAAACAGCUGUCUGAAAAUGGCAAAAGUGCACCUGGAUGUUCCAUAGCGCUACUGGCAAAAUAUUCUGUGGACAGAUGAAACUACAGUUGAGUUGUUUGGAAGGAACACACAACACUAUGUGUGGAGAACAAAAGGCACAGCACACCAACAUCAAAACCUCAUCCCAGCUGUAAAGUAUGGUGGAGGGAGCAUCAUGGUUUGGGGCUGCUUUGCUGCCUCAGGGCCUGGACAGCUUGUUGUCAACGACAGAAAAAUGAAUUUCUAAGUUUAUCGAGACAUUUUGCAGGAGAAUGUUAGGCUAUCUGUCCGCCAAUUGAAGCUCAACAGAAGUUGAGUGAUGCAACAGGACAACGACCCAAAAUACAGAAGUAAAUCAACUACAGAAGAAAAUACCCCUUCUGGUGCGGCCCAAUCAGAGUCCUGACCUCAAACCGAUUCAGAUGCUGUGGCAUGACCUCAAGAUAGCAGUUCACACCAGACAUCCCAAGAAUAUUGCUGAACUGAAACAGUUUUGUGAAGAGGAAUGGUCCAAAAUUCUUCCUGACCGUUGUGGAGUAGCAUAAUUUUUUUUUAUAUUUUACCGUUAUUUAACUAGGCAAGUCAGUUAAAGGUAGACUCAGCGAGAUGACGUAGAUACCACAAACUAAACUAUUGCCACAACCUGGGCCCGGUUUCCCAAAAGCAGUAAAAAGUUAAUCAGUAGAACCUUCAUAGGAACAUCUUUAAAUCUCCGAGCUGUUUUCCAAAGCAAUAUCUAAUAGGCUAGCCUAUACAUUAUGAGGAGACCUGCC